AAGAGCUUGCGCUCAAAGAAUGAAAAUUGGAAAAGAUAAAGUUUACAGGUAUUACAAGUUAUUUAUGCAAGGACUUACUGUUCAAGAAAUAUAUAAUCAAUACCUAAUAAAUAAAUCUAGAUGUGGAAAAAAGCCCAUUGUAUUAAGCAAAGAAAAAUUAAAUGAUAUCAAUAAUAAGCUAGAAAAUGAUUGGUCUUUAGAUGCUAUCGCAGGAAGAGAUAAAAUAGAUGGAAAAGAUGAAAAAAUAUCAACAAAAACAUUAUAUAAAUUAGCAAAACAAGGUGUAAUAGAUAUAAAUAAGUUGAGACGUAAGGGUAAAAAUAACCCGAAGGGUCAUAACGAAAUAAGAUGUAAAAUUAAUACAUGUAAAACAAUUCAUGGAAUAGAUGAAAAGUAUCCUAAUGCUAAAACUAGUAUAGAAUAUGGCCAUUUUGAGGGAGAUACUAUUGUAGGAAAAGCUAGAAAAUUAGCUAUAGUUACUUUAGUAGAAAAGUAUUCAAAAUAUAUUGUAUUACUUAAAGCAAGUAGAAAGAGUGAUGAUGUUAAAGAAGCAAUUUGCAAAUGGCUAUCAUCUUUACAUAAUUCAUGUAUAUCUACUAUUACAUUUGAUAUAGGUAAAGAGUUUUCAAAAUGGUCAGACAUAGAAAAAGAUAGUUCAGUUAAUAUUGAAAUUUACUUUGGAGACUCUGGAUCACCAGGUCAAAGAUGUCUAAAUGAGAAUUCAAAUGGAAUAGUUAGAAAGGAUUUACCUAAGUCUACAGAUUUAUCUGUAUAUUCUCAAGAAGAAUUAAAUAUGAUUGCCUAUAAAUGGAAUUCUAUACCUAAAAAAUCACUAAACUAUAAAACACCAAAUGAGGUUAUAAAAGAAGCAACUGAAUUUGAAAGCUUACUUCCAGUUGCUUAAUGAUUCAUAAGUAAUUUGUCUGAUUUAAAUUGACAAUUCAGGAAAUAAAAAAAAGAUUACGUGGCUACGUGCUACUCUCCCAGGCGGUCGCCCGCCAAGUACCAUUGCCGCUAAAGAGCUUAACUUCUGUGUUCGGUAUGGGAACAGGUGUAUCCUCUUUGCUAUAAUAACCACAUAAUCUUUAAUUUAGAGUUAAUACUCUGAAAACUGCAUAUCAUUUAANNNNNNNNNNNNNNNNNNNNNNNNNNNNNNAUUACAAUUUCACCGAGUCUAUUGUUGAGACAGUGCCCAAAUCGUUACGCCUUUCGUGCGGGUCGGAACUUACCCGACAAGGAAUUUCGCUACCUUAGGACCGUUAUAGUUACGGCCGCCGUUUACUGGGGCUUAAGUUCACUGCUUCGAUUGCUCUAACAGAUCCCCUUAACCUUCCAGCACCGGGCAGGCGUCAGCUCCUAUACAUCGUCUUGCGACUUAGCAGAAACCUGUGUUUUUGGUAAACAGUCGCUUGGGCCUAUUCUCUGCGGCCUGUCAUAGACAGGCACCCCUUCUCCCUAAGUUACGGGGUCAUUUUGCCGAGUUCCUUAACAAUAGUUCUCUCGCUGGCCUUAGGAUACUCUCCUCACCCACCUGUGUCGGUUUACGGUACGGGCGCCUUUAAACUCGAUAGAAGCUUUUCUUGACAGUGUGAAAUCAGCUACUUCGCCCCGAAGGGCUUCCCCAUCACAUCCUAGCAUUGUCUAAACGGAUUUGCCUAUUUAGACUGCCUCAAUGCUUAGCCGUACAUAACCAACAGUACGGUUAGCUUAUCCUACUGUGUCACUCCAUCUCUCAAACGCUUAUUGGCGGUACAGGAAUAUCAACCUGUUGUCCAUCACCUACGCCUUUCGGCCUCGGCUUAGGUCCCGACUAACCCAGGGCGGACGAACCUUCCCCUGGAAACCUUGGGUUUACGGCCCGUGGGAUUCUCACCCACGUCUCGCUACUCAUGCCAACAUUCUCACUCGUAUACUGUCCACAUGUCCUUACGGUCAUGCUUCAGCCUGCAUACGAAGCUCCCCUACCCAUCAUAAUUGAUGCCGUAGCUUCGGUAGUACGUUUUAGCCCCGGAAAUUUUCGGCGCAGGAUCACUCGACCAGUGAGCUAUUACGCACUCUUUAAAUGAGUGGCUGCUUCUAAGCCAACAUCCUGGUUGUCUGUGCAAUCCCACAUCCUUUACCACUUAACGUACAUUUAGGGACCUUAGCUGACGAUCUGGGCUGUUGCCCUUUUGACUAUGAAUCUUAUCACCCACAGUCUGACUCCCAAGUAAAAGAAAACGGCAUUCGGAGUUUGAUAGUCUUCGGUAAGUGCAAUACCCCCUAGGACAUUCAGUGCUCUACCUCCGUUUCUCUACGCUUGAGGCUAGCCCUAAAGCUAUUUCGGGGAGAACCAGCUAUCUCCGGGCUCGAUUGGAAUUUCACCGCUAUCCACAAGUCAUCCCCGAGCUUUUCAACGCUCGUGGGUUCGGUCCUCCACGAAAUUUUACUUUCGCUUCAACCUGCUCAUGGAUAGGUCGCCCGGUUUCGGGUCUACGCCAAGUAACUUAAUCGCCCAUUUAAGACUCGCUUUCGCUACGGCUCCACACCUUAAGUGCUUAACCUUGCUACUUAACGUAACUCGUUGGCCCGUUCUACAAAAAGUACGCGGUCACACAAGUAAUGUGCUCCCACAGCUUGUAAGUACAGGGUUUCAGGUUCUAUUUCACUCCCCUCCCGGGGUUCUUUUCACCUUUCCCUCACGGUACUAUGCGCUAUCGGUCACUAGGUAGUAUUUAGGCUUGGAGGAUGGUCCCUCCUGCUUCCCACAGGGUUUCACGUGUCCCGUGGUACUCUGGAUCAUAUCUAAAGAAUUAUCGUUUUAACUACGUGGCUAUUACACUUUAUAGCGGAGCUUUCCAACUCUCUUCAUCUACGAUGACCUCUUCGUUAAUGACAUGUCCGCAACCCCAACGAAGUAAACUUCAUUGGUUUGGCCUGUUCCGCGUUCGCUCGCCGCUACUUACGGAAUCGAAUUUCUUUCUCUUCCUCCGGGUACUUAGAUGUUUCAGUUCCCCGGGUUCCCCUCGCUAAGCUAUGUAUUCACUUAACGAUACUUAGACAUUACUCUAAGUGAGUUUCCUCAUUCGGAAAUCUUCGGAUCAAAGUUUACGUGCAACUCCCCGAAGCUUAUCGCAGCUUAUCACGUCCUUCAUCGGCUCCUAGUGCCAAGGCAUCCGCCCUGCACCCUUAAUAACUUGA
This 3180-nucleotide ribosomal RNA is filed under the name Romboutsia ilealis. Its description in RNAcentral is "23s_rRNA". The record is from RNAcentral. Lineage: Bacteria; Bacillati; Bacillota; Clostridia; Peptostreptococcales; Peptostreptococcaceae.